Molecule: long non-coding RNA, 472 nt
Filed under: Homo sapiens (human)
Lineage: Eukaryota; Metazoa; Chordata; Mammalia; Primates; Hominidae
Description: HSALNT0084611
Source: RNAcentral
UAGGCAACGAUGAAUAUGUCCAAGCUGGAUGUGGGGAUGGAAAUGCAAAUUAACGUCUUUGAGACUUGGAACAGCAAUCUCUGUCUCCUGUCCAUGCUAUCUGGAACAUUGUCAUGGAGGAAAAUCCUCCCUUACCUUGGCCCAUUAAAGUAUGCGGGCAGAAUAAAUUGUUAACUCCAACAACUGGCAAAUAUACUGAGAACCGAAGUUUUCCCACUGAAAAGAAGAAAAAUAUUGCUGCACUUGCUAUUAUUGAAAUAUGCCCUAUUAUAAAUAAUUUCUUGUCCUAAAUUCUCAUCAUAAGGCACAAAUAACAUUCACCUGGAAAAUGCAAAGAACCACAUAACUGACGCACAAGGCAGAAAAACUGAAAUGAAAAUAAACAAUUUACAAAUUUGUACAUCAGCAUUUUUCAAUAUUUGGAUAGAAAAUGUCAAUAGUACAAUAUAUUCCAUACUGUAUAAAUUCUUUC